This 433-nucleotide ribosomal RNA is filed under the name uncultured bacterium. RNAcentral's name for it is "partial 16S ribosomal RNA". It matches the Rfam family "Bacterial small subunit ribosomal RNA", at positions 29 to 507 of the family's 1533-position model. The record is from RNAcentral.
AACGAACGCUGGCGGCAUGCCUAACACAUGCAAGUCGAACGACACCUUAGGGACUAGUGGCGCACGCGUGUGUAGCGCGUCGGAACCGGGCCUUAGGCACGGAAUAACUCUCCUAAGGGGGUGCUAAUGCCGGGUAAUGUAUUCGGACCAAAGAUUCAUCGUCCUUGGAUGGGCACGAGUUGGAUUAACCAGUUGGUAGGGUAAAAGCCUAUCAAAGGUUAGAUACAUAGCCGGGCUGAGAGGAUGAGCAGCCACUCUGGGGGUGAGAAGCGGUCCAGACUACUACAGGAUGCAGCAGUGGGGAAUACUGGAAAAUGGGGUGAAUCCUGAUCCAGUAAUGCCUGGUGAGUGAUGAAGGCCGGAGGGUUGUAAAGCUGUUUUACCCGGGAUGAUAAUGACAGUACCGGGAGAAUAAGCUCCGGCUAACUCCGUG